RNAcentral lists this ribosomal RNA (468 nucleotides) under uncultured bacterium. RNAcentral's name for it is "partial 16S ribosomal RNA". It matches the Rfam family "Bacterial small subunit ribosomal RNA", at positions 28 to 507 of the family's 1533-position model. The record is from RNAcentral.
GACGAACGCUGGCGGCGUGCUUAACACAUGCAAGUCGAACGGAAAGGCCCUGCUUUUGUGGGGUGCUCGAGUGGCGAACGGGUGAGUAACACGUGAGUAACCUGCCCUUGACUGUGGGAUAACUUCAGGAAACUGGGGCUAAUACCGGAUAGGAGCUCCUGCUGCAUGGUGGGGGUUGGAAAGUUUCGGCGGUUGGGGAUGGACUCGCGGCUUAUCAGCUUGUUGGUGGGGUAGUGGCUUACCAAGGCUUUGACGGGUAGCCGGCCUGAGAGGGUGACCGGCGACAUUGGGACUGAGAUACGGCCCAGACUCCUACGGGAGGCAGCAGUGGGGAAUAUUGCACAAUGGGCGGAAGCCUGAUGCGGCAACGCCGCGUGCGGGAUGACGUCCUUCGGGUUGUAAACCGAUUUCGCCUGUGACGAAGCGUGAGUGACGGUAAUGGGUAAAGAAGCACCGGCUAACUACGUG